GCCCGUUUGGUGAAAUUGGUAAACACGACAGACUUAAAAUCUGUUCCCGUAAGGGUUAUCGGUUCAAGUCCGAUAGUGGGCA
RNAcentral lists this transfer RNA (82 nucleotides) under Chloropicon sieburthii. RNAcentral's name for it is "tRNA-Leu". It matches the Rfam family "tRNA". From Rfam's summary of the family: Transfer RNA (tRNA) molecules are approximately 80 nucleotides in length. Their secondary structure includes four short double-helical elements and three loops (D, anti-codon, and T loops). Lineage: Eukaryota; Viridiplantae; Chlorophyta; Chloropicophyceae; Chloropicales; Chloropicaceae. The record is from RNAcentral.